UAAAGCUCAGAUGCAGACUGUAACAGACAAGCCUGUUACUAAGUCUUUUGUCUGCAGUUUUCUUCCUCACUGCUAGGGGUGCUAUAGCACCUAAUUGAGCUCCUUAAGUAAAGGUGAGGUUUUAGAGGAAGUUAGCAGAACAGCAGCAGUAGGAAGCAUGGCUUUAAUGCAUUUGUGCUAUGUCCUGGUUGAGAAAUGUUCUAUUUCAAGCUCAACUUAAAGGGCAAUAACAGGCUAAUUCUGGAGUUCCUUCAUCCUGAGAUAAUUCCGAGGCUGUUAUCCACCCCACCUUUUCCAUCCUGUUGUUCCGGCACUCCUGCUGAGGGCUUGUGAGAUGCUUUGAGGGCGUCUUGAAAACCUUGCUUUGCCGGAGUUGCCUUUGGGCCACCACCAACAUCUCUAACCAGUAAAAACCCAGGAGACUAACACCUUAACAUUUUAACGAACAUCUUGAUUUGAAUAUACACAUAUAUGCCAGACGCACACUUUAAUAGUACACUUCUUGUUUUUUUUUUUUUCACUUUUAGUUGAAGGCUACUUGGGUUAUUUCAGGUAAAGUUAACAGUCUGGUUAUGAUAAAAUAAAAGUUAUUUUAUUGGAUAAUAGCACUGUAGUUCUGUUCCAAAUCUAGCAAGCUUGUUGUCUUGUAUGUUAUAUAUAUUGUAUGUAUAAAUAUAACUAUAUGACUAAAAGUGCGGUCACAUUUACCAGUGUUCUGCAAAUUUUCAUGGGCGAAAUCAAGCCUUUUCAAUAGGGAUUUCUGCAUGAGGGUGGAAGAUAUUUCCUUCAGACGUUGUAACGAGUUCAAGUUGGUCACGCAAAUUCACUCUGUUAACAAACAGAAAGCUUUAUGAGGUUUGAAAGGGAUUUCUGUGUGAGCUGUGCUUCACUACUCUGUUGACAAUAGAGUGCCACAGUCAGGUUUCAGAAGUUAAAAUUCCAUUUAUUUUCUCCAUAGCGAAAUUGUUUUUUACCGAUAACUUAUAAACCUUUAAAUACAGUGAGCUACAAGGUUAAUUGAUGCUUCUGUUAAAGCUCUUAGCCCACAUUAUUUUAACUUAUAUUUUUUAAAAUAAUCAGCAAAUUGUGGUGAAAAACUACAUUAUCCAUGAUGAUGUGCAAAAUUCCACCAAUCACAGUCAAAACAAGCAGAACAAGCCAAAAAAAAAAAAAAAAAAAAAAAAACAGUCUAAACUGCUUUGCUAGUUUAAGUUGGUCUUAGCUGAUUUGAGAUUGUCCUUCUACCCAGCCAAGCUGGUGCUGCCAAUUUCUCUGUCCGAUCAUCCAAAAUCCAUCUAAAACCAGCAAACAGACCAGCCUAACCAGCCUGAGAGACCACCUAAGACCAGCAAAACAGCUUAGACUGAAGAUUUUUUUUUUUUUUUUUCCCCACAGCAGGGAAAUAGUGCAAGAUAUACAUAUGUACUAUUGAUAUUUUUUUCUAUGCAGUUUAAUAUUUAUUUAUAUUCAACAUUUCUCUUGACUCCUGUAUGAACAUGCUUAGGUUUGUUGCAUUGAAUUUUGAGAUUUUGAGCACUAUUUUUGAAAAUGUACAUUGCCCUCCAAAAGUUUGGAAACACCCCUGGCAAAGUGUGGUUUUGGACGAU
Megalobrama amblycephala (Wuchang bream) is the source of this 1607-nucleotide long non-coding RNA. RefSeq lists it as uncharacterized. The transcript has 4 exons. The record is from RefSeq and is a predicted model, not a curated record. NCBI's taxonomy places the organism in Eukaryota, Metazoa, Chordata, Actinopteri, Cypriniformes, Xenocyprididae.